Molecule: ribosomal RNA, 440 nt
Filed under: uncultured bacterium
Lineage: Bacteria
Description: partial 16S ribosomal RNA
Rfam family: Bacterial small subunit ribosomal RNA
Source: RNAcentral
CCUACGGGAGGCAGCAGUAGGGAAUAUUGCUCAAUGGGGGAAACCCUGAAGCAGCAACGCCGCGUGGAGGAUGAAGGUUUUCGGAUUGUAAACUCCUUUUGGUAGAGAAGAUAAUGACGGUAACUAACGAAUCAGCACCGGCUAACUCCGUGCCAGCAGCCGCGGUAAUACGGAGGGUGCAAGCGUUACUCGGAAUCACUGGGCGUAAAGAGCGCGUAGGCGGGAUAGCAAGUCAGAUGUGAAAUCCUAGGGCUUAACCAUAGAAAUGCAUUUGAAACUGUUAUUCUAGAGUAUGGGAGAGGUAGGUGGAAGUCUUGGUGUAGGGGUAAAAUCCGUAGAGAUCAAGAGGAAUACUCAUUGCGAAGGCGACCUGCUAGAACAUAACUGACGCUGAUGCGCGAAAGCGUGGGGAGCAAACAGGAUUAGAUACCCCAGUAGUC